This is a long non-coding RNA of Corvus hawaiiensis (hawaiian crow), 210 nucleotides long. RefSeq lists it as uncharacterized. Lineage: Eukaryota; Metazoa; Chordata; Aves; Passeriformes; Corvidae. The transcript has 2 exons. The record is from RefSeq and is a predicted model, not a curated record.
CCAAAAUGUCCCCGAGAAACCCCAAAGGGCAGAGAGAGACCCCAAAAGGGCACAGAGAGACCCCAAAAGGACACAGAGAGACCCCAAAGGACACAGAGAGACCCCAGAAAGGGCACAGAGAGAGCCCAAAAAUGGCAGAGAGAGACCCCAAAAGGGCACAGAGAGACCCCAAAAGGACACAGAGAGACCCCAAAGGACACAGAGAGACCC